Molecule: ribosomal RNA, 473 nt
Filed under: uncultured bacterium
Lineage: Bacteria
Description: bacterial SSU rRNA
Rfam family: Bacterial small subunit ribosomal RNA
Source: RNAcentral
ACUCCUACGGGAGGCAGCAGUGGGGAAUAUUGCACAAUGGGCGCAAGCCUGAUGCAGCCAUGCCGCGUGUGUGAAGAAGGCCUUCGGGUUGUAAAGCACUUUCAGUUGUGAGGAAGGUGGUGUCGUUAAUAGCGGCAUCAUUUGACGUUAGCAACAGAAGAAGCACCGGCUAACUCCGUGCCAGCAGCCGCGGUAAUACGGAGGGUGCGAGCGUUAAUCGGAAUUACUGGGCGUAAAGCGCAUGCAGGUGGUUUGUUAAGUCAGAUGUGAAAGCCCGGGGCUCAACCUCGGAAUUGCAUUUGAAACUGGCAGACUAGAGUACUGUAGAGGGGGGUAGAAUUUCAGGUGUAGCGGUGAAAUGCGUAGAGAUCUGAAGGAAUACCGGUGGCGAAGGCGGCCCCCUGGACAGAUACUGACACUCAGAUGCGAAAGCGUGGGGAGCAAACAGGAUUAGAUACCCUGGUAGCACAGAG